CAACCCUCGAACCCCUCCGGGGGGUCGGCGUUGGGGAUCGGGACCCCUCACCGGGUGCCGGCCCUGAAAUACAGUGGCGGUCUCGCCGCAGCCUCUCCUGCGCAGUAGUUUGCACAACUCGCACCGGGAGCGCGGCGCGUCCACGUCCGUAAAACACCCAACUUCUGAAA
Molecule: unclassified non-coding RNA, 170 nt
Filed under: Trichoderma hamatum
Lineage: Eukaryota; Fungi; Ascomycota; Sordariomycetes; Hypocreales; Hypocreaceae
Description: partial internal transcribed spacer 2
Source: RNAcentral